GAUGAACGCUGGCGGCGUGCCUAAUACAUGCAAGUCGAGCGAACAGACGAGGAGCUGCCUCCUUUGACGUUAGGGGCGGAGGGGUGUGAAACACGGGGAAACCCUCCUUAAAAUCCGGGGAAACCUUGGGAAAACGGGAGCAAAUCCGGGAGAAUAAUUGUAACGGCAUGGUUCAUUAGUGAAAGACGGUUUUGCUUUCACUUAUGGAUGAUCCGGUUCCGCAUUAGAUAGUUGGUAAGGUAAGGGUUUACCAGGGCAAGGAUGCGUAGCCGAACGGAGCGGGUGGUAGGCCACCCUGGAACUGAGACACGGACAAGAGUCCUAAGGGAGGCCGCAGUCGGGAACCGUCCGCAAUGGGCGGAAGCCUGACGGAGCAACGCCGAGUGAGUGAUGGAGGUCUUCGGAUCGUAAAACUCUGUUAUUAGGGAAGAACACAUGUGUAAGUAAAUGUGCCCGUAUUGACGGUACCUAAUCAGAAAGCCACGGCUAACUACGUG
Molecule: ribosomal RNA, 497 nt
Filed under: uncultured bacterium
Lineage: Bacteria
Description: partial 16S ribosomal RNA
Rfam family: Bacterial small subunit ribosomal RNA
Source: RNAcentral